RNAcentral lists this long non-coding RNA (201 nucleotides) under Vicia faba (fava bean). The record is from RNAcentral. Lineage: Eukaryota; Viridiplantae; Streptophyta; Magnoliopsida; Fabales; Fabaceae.
AUGUUGGACAGGAAAUGGCUUGAUUCCAUUAGAUCAAAACACGAUAAGAGUUUGAAGACGCUGCUGACAUUGUGUUGCUUCUGGGUUCUGCUUCUGGAUGACUGGUUUGGAUCAGGGAAGUACUCCAGUAACCGGCUGAACACGUUGCACUUACCGCUGCACCCGCGAUCGCCUGCCCUAGCAGCACAAUUGAAAACAUAG